UCGGAUGUGGUGUACGGUGCACGUCAGCCCCUGUCAAUAUUUGACUGCUUGCAGGCUGAAGACCCGGGUUCGACUCCCUGCAUCCGAA
This is a non-coding RNA of Mycena rebaudengoi, 88 nucleotides long. The record is from the annotation of a GenBank genome assembly. NCBI's taxonomy places the organism in Eukaryota, Fungi, Basidiomycota, Agaricomycetes, Agaricales, Mycenaceae.